GGGAUUGCCUCAGUACCGGCGAGUGAAGCGGCAACAGCUCAAAUUUGAAAUCUGGCCCCCUCGGGGUCCGAGUUGUAAUUUGUAGAGAGUGCUUCGGAGGAGACCGCGGUCUAAGUCCAUUGGAACAUGGCGUCAUAGAGGGUGAGAAUCCCGUAUGUGACUGUGGCUCGAACCCGUGUGAAGCCUCUUCGACGAGUCGAGUUGUUUGGGAAUGCAGCUCAAAAUGGGUGGUAAAUUUCAUCUAAAGCUAAAUACUGGCUGGAGACCGAUAGCGCACAAGUAGAGUGAUCGAAAGAUGAAAAGCACUUUGGAAAGAGAGUUAAAAAGUACGUGAAAUUGUUGAAAGGGAAGCGCUGGCAACCAGACCUGUCCGUAGGCGAUCAGCCGCUGUUCUCAGUGGUGCACUCGCUCUGCGAUCAGGCCAGCAUCGGUUUCGGCGGUCGGAUAAAGGCCUUGGGAAUGUAGCUUCCCCUCGGGGGAGUCUUAUAGCCCUCGGUGCAAUGCGGCCAGCCGGGACCGAGGACCGCGCUUCGGCUAGGAUGCUGGCGUAAUGGUUGUCAGCGACCCGUCUUGAAACACGGACCAAGGAGUCUAAUAUCUAUGCGAGUGUUUGGGUGUCAAACCCAUACGCGGAAUGAAAGUGAACGGAGGUGAGAACCCUUAAGGGCGCAUCAUCGACCGAUCCAGAUGUCUUCGGAUGGAUUUGAGUAUGAGCAUAAAUAUUGGGACCCGAAAGAUGGUGAACUAUGCCUGAAUAGGGUGAAGCCAGAGGAAACUCUGGUGGAGGCUCGCAGCGGUUCUGACGUGCAAAUCGAUCGUCAAAUUUGGGUAUAGGGGCGAAAGACUAAUC
Molecule: ribosomal RNA, 850 nt
Filed under: Melanelixia fuliginosa
Lineage: Eukaryota; Fungi; Ascomycota; Lecanoromycetes; Lecanorales; Parmeliaceae
Description: eukaryotic LSU rRNA
Rfam family: Eukaryotic large subunit ribosomal RNA
Source: RNAcentral